AGUGGCAUGUCCUGGACCCGAAGCGGGGUGAUCUACCCAUGGCCAGUGUGAAGCAGCUGUAAGAGGUUGUGGAGGCGCGAACCCACGUAGGUUAAAAACUGCGGGGAUGAGCUGUGGGUAGGGGUGAAAGGCCAAUCAAACUCCGUGAUAGCUGGUUCUCCCCGAAAUGCAUUUAGGUGCAGCGUUGCGUGUUUCUUGUUGGAGGUAGAGCGACUGGAUGGUUUAGCGGGACUAUCAUCUUAGCGACAUCAGCCAAACUCCGAAUGCCAGCAAGGUGAGAGCGCGGCAGUGAGACUGCGGGGGAUAAGCUCCGUGGGUCGAGAGGGAAACAGCCCAGAUCGCCGGCUAAGGCCCCUAAGUGUGUACUAAGUGGAAAAGGAUGUGGGAUCGCGAAGACAACCAGGAGGUUGGCUUAGAAGCAGCCAUCCUUGAAAGAGUGCGUAAUAGCUCACUGGUCGAGUGGUUGUGCGCCGACAAUGUAGUGGGGCUGAAGUGCACCGCCGAAGCCGCGGAAACCAUGCUUGUUUGUGUGUGGUUUGGUAGGGGAGCGUCGUGUGCUCGUGGAAGCUGCUGGGUGACUGGUGGUGGAGGGUAUGCGAGUGAGAAUGCAGGCAUGAGUAGCGAAUGACAAGUGAGAAUCUUGUCCGCCGGAUGACUAAGGGUUCCUGGGUUAAGCUUUUCUUCCCAGGGUGAGUCGGGGCCUAAGGCGAGGCCGUCAGGCGUAGUCGAUGGAUAACGGGUUGAUAUUCCCGUACCCGUGCAUGCGCGCCCAUGGUGAAUCAGUGAUACUAACCGCCCUGAAGCACGCGUGAUGGUCUUUGGAUUGUUGUGUGUGUGGAUGCGUGGGGCCUGAUCUGGUAGUAGUCAAGUGAUGGGGUGACGCAGUGUGGUAGCCGAGCCACUGAGUGGAUUGUGGUGUAAGCGUGUAGCCCGGUAUCUAGGUAAAUCCGGAUGCCCUGUGGGGUGAGGCGUGAUGCGUACCCGUUGUGGGGAUGUUGGUGAUCCAUUGCUGUCGAGAAAAGCCUCUAGCGAUGUGUGUGUGCGGCCCGUACCCGAAACCGACACAGGUGGUCAGGUAGAGAAUACUAAGGCGACGGGUGAACUGUGGUUAAGGAAUUCGGCAAAAUGCCCCCGUAACUUCGGGAGAAGGGGGACCACUGCUGGUGACAGACUGGUUGAGCUGGUGGUGGUCGCAGAGAGUAGAGGGAAGCGACUGUUUACUAAAAACACAGGUCCGUGCGAAGACGUGAAGUCGAGGUAUACGGACUGACGCCUGCCCGGUGCUGGAAGGUUAAGAGGACCUGUUAGGCCACGGUUGUGGUCGAAGCGGAGAAUUUAAGCCCCAGUAAACGGCGGUGGUAACUAUAACCAUCCUAAGGUAGCGAAAUUCCUUGUCGGGUAAGUUCCGACCUGCACGAAUGGCGUAACGACUUCUCUGCUGUCUCAACCACAGGCCCGGUGAAAUUGCACUACGAGUAAAGAUGCUCGUUACGCGCGGCAGGACGAAAAGACCCCGGGACCUUCACUAUAGCUUGGUAUUGGUGUUUGGUUCGGUUUGUGUAGGAUAGGUGGGAGACUGUGAAGCGGCCACGCUAGUGGUGGUGGAGUCGUUGGUGAAAUACCACUCUGAUCGUAUUGAGCAUCUCAACCUCGGCCCAUGAUCUGGGUUAGGGACAGUGCCUGGUGGGUAGUUUAACUGGGGCGGUUGCCUCCUAAAUGGUAACGGAGGCGCCCAAAGGUUUCCUCAGCCUGGUUGGCAAUCAGGUGGUGAGUGUAAGUGCAUAAGGGAGCUUGACUGUGAGACUGACGGGUCGAGCAGGAACGAAAGUUGGGACUAGUGAUCCGGCACUGGCUUGUGGAUGCGGUGUCGCUCAACGGAUAAAAGGUACCCCGGGGAUAACAGGCUGAUCUUCCCCAA
This 1918-nucleotide ribosomal RNA is filed under the name seawater metagenome. Its description in RNAcentral is "bacterial LSU rRNA". It matches the Rfam family "Bacterial large subunit ribosomal RNA", at positions 698 to 2495 of the family's 2925-position model. The record is from RNAcentral.